This 346-nucleotide long non-coding RNA is filed under the name Medicago truncatula (barrel medic). Its description in RNAcentral is "long non-coding RNA (MTRU_LNC007070)". The record is from RNAcentral. Lineage: Eukaryota; Viridiplantae; Streptophyta; Magnoliopsida; Fabales; Fabaceae.
UUGAGCAACAUCUGUUUAUUUAUUGUUUUGAUCAAAUGAGAAACCUAAGGGUGAGGAUAUUUUAAUAUGGAUGGAACUUCAAAAUGAAAAAGACAAGGCAUACAUGAAACAGCCAAAAACAUAACAGAGGACCUAUGAUGCACAGGUACGGGUACCGGUACGUAAUACGGCAAAUUUUAAAAAACAAAGGUAUGGGUAGAUUGAUAAUAAAACGUCAAGAAAAAGAUUUUCCAAGUGAGUUACUACCAUUGUUGUUGUAAAAACAUGGUUAGAAAAAAAUCAAUUAUAAUAAAAAAUAAAUAAAUAAUAGUAUCAUACUAUUUGUAAUUCAAUCAUGUGUUUAACC